This 2646-nucleotide long non-coding RNA is filed under the name Gallus gallus (chicken). Lineage: Eukaryota; Metazoa; Chordata; Aves; Galliformes; Phasianidae. The record is from RNAcentral.
GAGGACGCCCCGCAUGCUCAAGCUGCUCUGAGUCACAGAGCGGGCUGAGGCGCUGCCGGCAGAUUCGCCGCCGGCUCCUCCGCUCCUGGAACCGCUCCCCCGUACCGUGCCGCCCACCUAUCCGCACACCUCCGCCUCAGAUACCAAGCCCGAAUUUUCUCCGGGGCGCAAGCGGCUGGGGGACCGUCGGGGAGCGAUCGGCAGAUUCGCCGCGCGGGGCCCGGCGUGCCGUUGGAGGGAAAAGGCGGGGAAGCGCCGCGCCGCCCCGCAGCGGCCUCCAGGGCCCCGCAGCGCCGCCCCCGCACGGCCGGGCCUGCGCGGCUCCUCUCGGCGCUCGCGCUGAGGCCCCGCGGUCCCGCUACCCCGGAGAGCUCAUCCGUAGCCCCGCUCCCACAGCGCACCGCCCGGCUGUGCGGCUUAAGGCCGCGCGGUUAGAGCAGGGAGCGGCCUUUGUCAUGUAAGUGUGCCCGCGGGCCGGGCCUCCCGCCGAGGGCUCUACUGAGAGGGAACACGCAGACACAGCCCCGCGGGGCCUCGUGGUUAGAAAAGGAGCCGCUUUUCGCUGUGGCGAAAUAAAACGUAACCACACUGCAUCGCAGGGCUGGUGGGGUUGGAAGGGACUUUUCGAGGCCCUCGCAUCCAACCCCUGCUAACGUGGCAGCUCCUGGAGCGGCUGUGGGCCCAUGGCUGUAGGCUGAGGGGACUCCAUCCUCAGCUUCACUAAAAACCAUUUUUUUUUUUUGUGAGAUCUGAGGUUGUCUGAGAAGAAAACACGAUCUGUUCAGCUUUCACCUAAUGGUAGGAGUCAUUGAGAUCGUCUCAUUCCUUGCGUGAGCUUCAUUUGCCCCCUUUGCAAUCAUUCCUGAUCAGUUCAGAUGUGCCCUACCCUUCCUGCAAGUCAACGCUCAUGAAAAUCAAACUGAUCAGGAAAGAAAGAGGGGCAUUCAGAGCCAGCCUCCAACUGCACUGUGUGAGCUAAUGAGCCAUAAGGAGCAAGGCCUAUUAACAAACAGCCACACCAAGGAAUUCUUUUCUUCCUCCUCUUAGCUGGAUAUAUUGGAUUAAAAGCCACUAUGACUGCCUCACAGAUGCGAAAGUUUUGCAUGCUCACGUCCCGCUUGUAGGUCAAUAACACAACAAUAAUGAAGACAGCAAGAUUUUCCAGUGAAAAGGAUCUAACCUGUUUUGUUGGCAACACAGGGCAGUCCAUGCUGGAUGCUUUAUAACACCUCCUGUUCUUGGCAGCAAAACUGUUUCUGUUUCGAUCUCAUGAACCCGUUUCUUAGGACUCUUGAGACAGGAAAACAACUACUACACGAGCAAUGUCAAACUCGUUUAUUUCAGACCUUUGCUAUACUGCAUUCAGUUACAGAUUGAGAGGGAGAAAACCUCUCAGCAGUUUCUUCUCUUUGUAUAAACAUGAUAAUAUAAACAUGAUAAUACUGCAGUGUUACAGUAAGGAGAACCCUGUCUCUCAAAUACUUGUGCAUAACUGCAAGCUGUUUAAAAAAAAAAAAAAAAGCUCAAUUUUGACCUCAUUAUUUCUGAUUCUAUUUCAGUAUAAAUUUCUACGUGGAUCCACAGAUUGCUGUCAUCAACAUAUUAAAUAUAUAACUAAAUGCCUUUCUGAGACCCGUGACCACAAAUUUAAAGAGUUAAGCAACGAGAAACACGUGGAACAAGCAAAGUAGAGCUGUGGCUGAAAUCAGACCUGCGAGCAGCCAAAUUGCUAUGGAGAACAGGAGGAGGGGCAGAGCUACGGCCAUUAAGGACACAGCGCAGAGAUGGAGAGGGGAAGGCGAGCUUCACAGCAGCAAGGUGAGGAGGGGAGCACAGCCUCUUCGUGCAAGAAAUGCUGAAGAUAACCCUAAGGGAGGAACUGAAGCCAAUCAAGGCAAAUAAAAGAAAAGCAGCAGCCUGUAGGCAACCCCAAAUCCUGCAGCUCUUGGGUGAUGCCCUGGAUCUGCAGGCAACCAGGACAGGCAGCAGCACAGCAGGCACAGGGCUGCAGUGCUCCAGGCUGCAGUGUGAGCUCUGUCAGAGCUCAGGUGUUAUUUUGGGGCCAGGACACCAUGCUGGGUACUGUGGGCAUCUCCCUGUGCUUUGGGCACUGUGGCACCAAAGCUGGGUCCCAUGGGACGCUAUGAUCCCCAUCCCUACCAACAUUAGGAGCUCUCUCCCAUGCACACAUACGUUCAGAUUACAUCAGAGCCUCUUUAACAGCGCUGUCUGCUCGAGUGCAUCACUUAAACUCGAUGCAACCGAGUGAAGCUCCCAAGUCAAUAAGACCCACUUAAACAAACUGUGCUCAGCUCAUUGAGUCGGUUUAUAUCCAAAUGGGAAAAGUAAAAAGCGCUGAGUGCUGACAGCGCUCAGGAAGAUGAUUUACAAAUGCCUCAGACACACAACCAGAGCAGCUUUUCUCUCGUUAUGCCACUGCAGACUGCAUGAGAAUCCUCCCAGGGUGCACAGGUGGAGGAAGGGAGGGCUUCCCGGCCACCUCACAGCUGAGCAGCACAAAAAGCAGGAGGGAAAUAAGGCUCGCAGUGCUCAGCCCCUGCUGGCAUGCUGGGCUGUCACCAACCCCAGGCUCCAGGUGCAGCUCAAGGCAAGCAGGGUGCUCUGCUGAGAGCCACACAGAGCGCU